CUGACAUGCCUCAGGAACCCGGGAUUCGUCGGACCAGACAAUGUUUUUCCACUCCUCAAUUGUCCAGUGUUGGUGAUCACGUGCCCACUGGAGCCGCUUCUUGUUUUUAGCUGAUAAGAGUGGAACCUGGUGUUGUCAUCUGCUGCAAUAGCCCAUCCAUGAUGAGUUGUGCAUUCCCAGAUGCUGUUCUGCACACCACUGUUGUACUUCGCCGUUAUAUGCCGGCACUGUCGUGCGUGAAAACCCAAAGAGGCCAGAUGUUGUUGAGAUACGGCGCGCCUGGCACCGACGAUCAUACCACGCGCAGUCGCUUAGGACGAAGCAAGGGGACAAGAUGAGAGGGAAAGUUCCGCUAACAAGGGCAACUACUAGGAGCUUUCAGAGCUAAAUGCCCUCCUGUUCCCUGAUUAAGAGUGGAUGACUACUCCACUACCAGUGUCAACUCUUUACUGAACUGAAGCCAUGUCUCAUGUGCCCUCUCAUCCACUGGCUCACUGAAUAUUUCCUCUCCAAGCACUUCAAAUCUUGUCCUCAUUGGAAGAGUUGAGCUCUUCUGCAACACCAUCCAUCCAUGAUAAGCUUGUCCUGCACUGGAAGAGUUGAGCUCUUCUGCAACACCAUCC
This 623-nucleotide long non-coding RNA is filed under the name Salmo salar (Atlantic salmon). Its description in RNAcentral is "lncRNA (ENSSSAG00000116502.1)". The record is from RNAcentral. Lineage: Eukaryota; Metazoa; Chordata; Actinopteri; Salmoniformes; Salmonidae.